UACAGGGGGUGCAAACGUUGCUCGGAAUCAUUGGGCGUAAAGCGCACGUAGGCGGUUCGUUAUGUCGGAUGUGAAAGCCCUUGGCUUAACCGAGGAAGUGCAUCCGAAACUGGCGAGCUAGAGUACUAAAGAGGAUCGCGGAAUUCCCGGUGUAGAGGUGAAAUUCGUAGAUAUCGGGAGGAACACCGGUGGCGAAGGCGGCGAUCUGGGUAGAUACUGACGCUGAGGCACGAAAGCGUGGGGAGCAAACAGG
This 253-nucleotide ribosomal RNA is filed under the name uncultured bacterium. RNAcentral's name for it is "partial 16S ribosomal RNA". It matches the Rfam family "Bacterial small subunit ribosomal RNA", at positions 524 to 776 of the family's 1533-position model. The record is from RNAcentral.